Molecule: long non-coding RNA, 2044 nt
Organism: Manis javanica (Malayan pangolin)
Lineage: Eukaryota; Metazoa; Chordata; Mammalia; Pholidota; Manidae
Source: RefSeq, a predicted model, not a curated record
GGUCACGUAGCGUAGGAUCCCAUUUAUAUGAAAUGCCCAGGAGAGGGGCAAAUCUGGAGGGCUAUAAAGCAGGCCAGUGGUUUCAGGGGGGCCGCAGGGGGUGGGGAAGGCAGAGUGACUGCUGGGUGGUUCUCUUCCCAUGCAGACUUGUGGUUCGUGGCUUCUGGAAAAAGCCAACCCAUUCGUUUUGUAGCUGGAGGCUCCAGGAGGACAAGGACUGCCUUGAGGCACAUACUUGCUUUCGGAGAAGCUGGGCAUGCUUGCCGCCUCCCCCAGGGAGCCUCCAGACCUCUCCAGCCCCCGAGCCUCGAGCUUUACACUUGGGCGUCAACAUAAGCUCAAUGUGAAGCCGGUGCCCUAGAGAGAACUCAGCCCUCCAGACCUCUGGGGUGAGAGUGUGGAGCAUGAGACCGGCAUCGAGGUGGAAACCGAGGUGUGACCAGAUGAAGUCACCUGUGUAAGGCCACACGGCUGGUGAGUGACAGUACGGGGGCACCAGAGUGCUGGCCCUGCUGAACCAAGGCCGGCUGCAGAGCCUGAUUGUCAGUUACCUAAAUCUAUGAAUGGACAGAUGAAGGGAUGAAGGGAUGAAGGAACGGCUGCACACACGUGAGCAUCCUCCGCAUUUCCCAGAAAGAGGAUACAGACUGGGUGGAACCUCAUGGCAGCCCACGACUCCCUGGGGGCCACGGGCCCACCCUCCUGUUCUGACCUCCCUUUGCUCCUCUGGAAAUGGGGCUGGCGGAAGCUAAACGUCUAAACACCACUUCCUUGUGGAACCAUCAAGCAGGCGACAGAAGACGGGCGGGACUGUCAGAUGUGAAGAAAAACCAACUAUGACUUGGUGCUGUUCUGUGUCUUCUGCUCUGCCUUUAUACCCCCGUCCCAUUCACUCAGCAAACGCUUGGAGGGGUCCUGUGUGCCUGACCCUCUGCGGGGGACGUGAGGGGGAUGCUGGGACCAGAGAUUCCUCGGAACCAGCACCCCACACGCCCUCAGCCCUGCCCUCCUCCUCUACUACCUGUGGAGAUCUACUCACUGCUUGCAGCUCACAGCCAUCGUCUCUUCGGGUCUGCAGAGAUGUCCAUGUCCAGCAACCCAGUGGUCACCCCUCCUUCCUCACCUAGUCGACCUUCCGGUAGCCUUCGAUGCGCCCAGCCCUCCUUGAAACUCACUCCGCUGCCGGCUUCCAGGCAGCAUCAAGCACCUCAUACCAAAAAUGCAUGCCUGCCGGCAGGGGUAGGGCAAUGAGCUGGGCAGCGGAACCAGGACCCUGGAGCUGCUGGCGCUCUCCUGGACUCCUGCUUGCACCGCCAGCUGAGGUCACCUGCCGGGGAGGGAUGCACCCUUCGGUGCGUGCGUUGGCACAGGCAGUCUCAGCAUCGGAACCAGCUUGUGGUUGGGGCAGUCCGUCCUGUUUCUGAGGGGUGGCUGCCAUGCUAUCCUUCAUUCUCCCCUCCCCCAGAAAGCCUGGCCCAGGUCUCCUGCCUUCUCAGCACCCCUGUUAAUCCAUCAGCUUCUCUCACCUUACCACGGAAAGUGUCAGAAUGGGAGCUUGGGCUUAGGCUCCCACUGCCCCAUGGCACUGUGGUACGCCGGGAGAAUGCGUAUUUGAUCUUCAUCCUCCCUCCCGGCGGAGCUCCUAAAACCCUUGGGAUUUCCUAAGUGAGGAGAGGUUAGCAGGUGUCUUUUUAUGUUAACAAAGUGACUUUGGGACCCACCUAAGGAUGGGGGCUGGCAGCAAGGGGAGCCCACUGUUUGAUUAAAGGGUCAGAACUUCCAGUCCCCCCUCUCUGACCUUUGAAGCAUGGCUGGAGGUUGAACCUGGGGCCAAUGGCCAGUGAUCUAUCAUUCGUGCCUAUGUACUGGGGCCUUCAUAAAAGUCCAGAAGGACAGGGUGUAGAGAACUUCCAGGGUGGUGAGCACAUGGAGAUUCAUGGGAAGUGGCCCACGCAGAGGGCGUGCAUGCUCUGUGACCUUCCCCAUACUUGCCCUCUGCACCUCUUCCGUUUGGCUGUUUCUUAGUUAUAUCCUUUUAUAAUAA